GUCUCUUCGGAGACAUCCGAUAAAAUUGGAACGAUACAACAAAGAUUAGCAUGGCCACUACGCAAGGAUGACACGCACAAAUGGAGAAAUAAUCCAAAUUUUU
This is a small nuclear RNA of Oryza sativa Japonica Group (Japanese rice), 103 nucleotides long. Lineage: Eukaryota; Viridiplantae; Streptophyta; Magnoliopsida; Poales; Poaceae. The record is from Rfam.